AANCUCUGACGCAGCGACGCCGCGUGAAGGAUGAAGGCCUCUGGGUUGUAAACUUCUGUAGAGAGGGAAGAAUUUCUCGCUCCGCGAGAUUGACGGUACCUCUAAAGUAAGGGUCGGCUAACUACGUGCCAGCAGCCGCGGUAAUACGUAGGACCCAAGCGUUGUCCGGAUUUACUGGGUGUAAAGGGAGCGCAGGCGGAUUAUUAAGUCGAUUGUGAAAUCUUGCGGCUCAACCGCAAAACAGCAGUCGAUACUGUUAAUCUUGAGUGUGGAAGAGAGUGGCGGAAUUCAUGGUGUAGCAGUGAAAUGCGUAGAUAUCAUGAAGAACACCGGUUGCGAAGGCGGCCACUUAGUCCAUUACUGACGCUCAUGCUCGAAAGCGUGGGGAUCAAACAGGAUUAGAUACCCUGGUAGUCCACGCCCUAAACGAUGAAUACUCGGUGUCGGGUCGCAAGAUUCGGCGCCUAAGCAAACGCAUUAAGUAUUCCACCUGGGAAGUACGAUCGCAAGGUUGAAACUCAAAUGAA
Molecule: ribosomal RNA, 527 nt
Filed under: uncultured bacterium 81
Lineage: Bacteria
Description: bacterial SSU rRNA
Rfam family: Bacterial small subunit ribosomal RNA
Source: RNAcentral